ACGGGAGCCGUUAGUGGACUGGUUAUCUUGAGUCUAAUUUGGAAUGAAAGUCCCAUAUCUCGCCCUGGCACAUAGAAUCUUAGUCCCCAGGUUCGUCCCCCAACCCGUCCGUUGAACUGUUUUCCCGGACUUGUGAAAGUUAUAUUAAGGGUGUUUGAAGUCUGGUUUUUCCUGCCAACAGUAAUUACGUCCCAGCUUGACGAGGGGUGCCAUGGAGCCUCUCCUGUGGUCUCACAACUCCACUGUUUGCAAAAGAAGUCCCCGAUACCAUACUUAUCUAGUGGUUCCUCUGGGGGUGCCCUAUCAGGUGUCGGUUCAGGGAUGUACUAGUAGCUUAAUCCCUCUGCUAGGGCACAAAUCGUAGGAAACAGAGGUGGCCACCAUGUGCCAGGGGGAGCUUCCUUAGAUGCCAACCAAACCAUAUCCCCUGUCUGUGACAUCACCUGCCAGGAAAUAAAGACAACCUUCAUAGAUUUGAAAAGACACUAUUUUGUUAUAAUCAAGUAGGGGGAUCUGUUGACAAGUUUUGAGCAUGAAGUCUGUUCACAUUUGCCAGGCUGAAGUUCUCUGUACAGUACAUCAUCACCUAUUUUAAGCUGCACUCAGGAGGAUGAGUUUUGUUUCUUAGUGCCCUUCAGUCAUGUUGCUGUCCCACAGGAAAAACAUAGCCCUUCACUAUUGGGAUUCAAAAUAAAUGUCUCAUUUCUGUUUUCUCUGAA
Long non-coding RNA from Mesocricetus auratus (golden hamster), 719 nucleotides. RefSeq lists it as uncharacterized. The transcript has 2 exons. NCBI's taxonomy places the organism in Eukaryota, Metazoa, Chordata, Mammalia, Rodentia, Cricetidae. The record is from RefSeq and is a predicted model, not a curated record.